AGAGUUUGAUCAUGGCUCAGAUUGAACGCUGGCGGCAGGCUUAACACAUGCAAGUCGAGCGGAAACGGAAGUAGCUUGCUACUAGGCGUCGAGCGGCGGACGGGUGAGUAAUGCUUAGGAAUCUACCGAGUAGUGGGGGAUAGCCAUUGGAAACGAUGAUUAAUACCGCAUAUAUCCUACGGGGGAAGGCAGGGGACCUUCGGGCCUUGCGCUAUUUGAUGAGCCUGAGUGAGAUUAGCUAGUUGGUGGGGUAAAGGCCUACCAAGGCGACGAUCUCUAGCUGGUCUGAGAGGAUGAUCAGCCACACUGGGACUGAGACACGGCCCAGACUCUUACGGGAGGCAGCAGUGGGGAAUAUUGCACAAUGGGCGAAAGCCUGAUGCAGCCAUGCCGCGUGUGUGAAGAAGGCCUUCGGGUUGUAAAGCACUUUCAGCGAGGAGGAAAGGUCAGUAGCUAAUAAUUGCUGGCUGUGACGUUACUCGCAGAAGAAGCACCGGCUAAUUUAGUGCCAGCAGCCGCGGUAAU
Molecule: ribosomal RNA, 525 nt
Filed under: uncultured bacterium
Lineage: Bacteria
Description: bacterial SSU rRNA
Rfam family: Bacterial small subunit ribosomal RNA
Source: RNAcentral